GGCGGCGUAGCUCAGUUGGCAGAGCACACGGCUCAUAUCCGUUAGGUCAUUGGUUCAAGCCCAAUCGCCGCUA
This 73-nucleotide transfer RNA is filed under the name Spirochaetaceae bacterium. Its description in RNAcentral is "tRNA-Met". It matches the Rfam family "tRNA". From Rfam's summary of the family: Transfer RNA (tRNA) molecules are approximately 80 nucleotides in length. Their secondary structure includes four short double-helical elements and three loops (D, anti-codon, and T loops). Lineage: Bacteria; Pseudomonadati; Spirochaetota; Spirochaetia; Spirochaetales; Spirochaetaceae. The record is from RNAcentral.